This is a small nuclear RNA of Nyctereutes procyonoides (raccoon dog), 107 nucleotides long. NCBI's taxonomy places the organism in Eukaryota, Metazoa, Chordata, Mammalia, Carnivora, Canidae. The record is from RefSeq and is a predicted model, not a curated record.
AUGCUCACUUCAGCAUCACAUAUACUAAAAUUGGAACGAUACAGAGAAGAUUAAUGUGGCCCUUACACAAGGAUGACAUGCAAAUUUGUGAAGUGUUCCAUAUUUUU